Molecule: non-coding RNA, 313 nt
Organism: Cinara cedri
Lineage: Eukaryota; Metazoa; Arthropoda; Insecta; Hemiptera; Aphididae
Source: the annotation of a GenBank genome assembly
GCCGCAGAAUAAAUGAAAUCUAAUCUGGGGCCCGUGCAUUGUGAUUAUAGGAUCGGAACUAUCGAUUCUUGUCCAGUCGUCGUCGAAACAACAACAACAACAACAACAAAAAUAAGGAAAACAACACCAAAGGCGAUGGUAAUAAACGCGAUAGAACGUGAGCGGGCGUCGGAGGCAGUGAUUAUCAGCUGACGGCGCGGGAGCAAGACGGAACCGCGACCCAAAGAGCAAAACUGAAAUAUUAUUCUGUUUACUCGGUAAUAACGUUUGUAGUGUAGAGUGUGGUAGAAGUAGAAGUAGUAGUGGUGGUGGC